RNAcentral lists this long non-coding RNA (1262 nucleotides) under Anser brachyrhynchus (Pink-footed goose). RNAcentral describes it as "lncRNA (ENSABRG00000017566.1)". Lineage: Eukaryota; Metazoa; Chordata; Aves; Anseriformes; Anatidae. The record is from RNAcentral.
UCUAUAUUCACUUACCUGUUGUCAAACUAUAUGCAACAGCUUCUUCUAGUAAAAGGAAUGACUGGAAUUGUGACCAGCAGCUCAGCUGAAUGAAGACCUAAAAAGAGGAUAGUCCUGAGCGAUGAGGACUUCCCAUUUCCUGAGCCUGCAGUCACGUUUGUGAAGUUCAGAUGUUCUCCAGAUCAAGCCAUUAUGGAGAAAUGUGUUUUUUUCUGAUCAUAAUAAUUAGUGAUGAAAAGAUAACUGAAAUCCCUGGGAUUUUGGAGGACAGCUUCUGUCAGCACAGUCUUCUCUUUGUUCAACUGUACAGAGGCACCCAGAAGCAGCAGGGAACAGCAAGAAAAACAAGAGGAGACAAAGCAGGAAGGCUGCACACCAUGACCUGGGGACUCUCAUGGCAGCACGCAUGCUGGGAAGGUGAGCUCCACACCAAGCACUGAACUUGUCCUGUCCCAACCUGCAGUAAGUGCCCACUGCUUCUGCACACGUGAUGCUUGCCUUGGAGUUGUGGCUCUUUCAGAGAGCUGUUGUGAAGGAGGUACACAAAGAUGAUAAUCCUGGAAAAAGAAGGCUCUAAAGAUCCGCAGGUCACCGUGUGUGGCGUUGGUGUCUGCAGAAUGUCCGUACCUGAAGAAUCUGCCAAGCACUAUUUGAUGUUGUUCCUUGCUGGGGAUGUGUGUUUUGGCACCCUGUCCAUUAACACUCCCUGAAAUAGGGAGACAGAUCUGUGAGAUGGAAAUUUCUGACCUCUUGUAAAUGAGGCUUUUAUUCUCAGCAAGCUUGGUAUCCCUAAAUGUACAGUUAAUAUUCUUCUGUAUCAGGAAAAGCUGCUCAGAUACGUGGUCUCAACUGAUUCAGGCUUCAAGUUGGAAAGUUUUUCGUGCUGUUUAUAGAUGGAGAUGGUGGCUCUGCAUAUGCUGGUGUAUGUUGUUCCUAAAAGUAAUGACAUUUCCUUUAGACACCUAAGUUCUGAACCAAGAAUCUUGUUUCUGGAGGGCUGUGAAAUGCACGUAGCGCCGCACUGAAUCGAUGGGAUUAAUGAGUUCUCUCUACCUGUUUUGUUCGCUAAUGUCUGCUCUUCUGAAUUGGUUUGUUUUGCUUAACACACACGCUGUAUCAACCUAACUAUGUAGUUUUGGGCUAGAAGUCAGGUUUUCUGUGUUGCUAUCAGGUCUUCAACUUUUCAAAAUGAAAGGUCUUUAAUAUUAGUCUGGUUUUGAGCCAAUUUCUUAAUAAGAAUAACGUAUUAUAAAUUGCUGAAA